Molecule: long non-coding RNA, 350 nt
Filed under: Elaeis guineensis (African oil palm)
Lineage: Eukaryota; Viridiplantae; Streptophyta; Magnoliopsida; Arecales; Arecaceae
Description: long non-coding RNA (EGUI_LNC058945)
Source: RNAcentral
GGACUCUUACGGGAGCCGGGCUCCAUCCACGAUGCCAAGGAAGACUCCACCCAGACUCCUACGGGAGUCAGGCUCCAUCCACGAUGCCAAGGAAGACUCCACUUGGACUCCUAUGGGAGCCGGGCUCCGUCCACGACGCCAAGGAAGACUCCACCCGGACUCCUACGGGAGCCGGGCUCCAUCCACGAUGCCAAAGAAGACUCCACCCGGACUCCUACGGGAGCCGAGCUCCGCCCACGACUCCAAUCAUAGGAGGGUUCCGUCCGGACUCCCACGGGAGCCGAACUUCGCCUUGACUUCAGCGGAGAAAAAUUUUGGGCGAAAAGGAAAAAGGAAGGCAACAGACCAUG